CUAAGAUGGCAAGCCGAACGGUGAAGGAUGCCCACAGCAUCCAUGGCACCAACCCUCAGUAUCUAGUGGAGAAGAUCAUCUGGACGGGAAUCUAUGAAUCCAAGUACUGGAAAGAAGAAUGUUUCGGACUAACAGCUGAACUUGUAGUUGAUAAAGCCAUGGAGUUAAGAUUUGUCGGCGGCGUUUAUGGUGGCAACAUAAAACCCACUCCCUUUUUAUGUUUGACCUUGAAGAUGCUGCAGAUUCAGGCUGAAAAGGAUGUCAUUGUAGAAUUUAUAAAAAAUGAAGACUUCAAGUAUGUCCGCAGGUUGGUGCACUUUACAUGAGGUUGACUGGCACUGCAAUUGACUGCUACAAGUAUUUGCAGCCUCUGUACAAUGACUAUCGGAAGAUCAAGAGUCAGAACCGAAAUGGGGAGUUUGAACUGAUGCAUAUGGAUGAGUUUAUUGAUGAGCUGCUGCCUAGUGAGAGAGUCUGUGACAUCAUUCUGCCCAGACUACAGAAACGGUAUGUGCUGGAGGAAGCUGAGCAGCUGGAGCCUCGGGUUAGUGCCCUUGAAGAGGACAUGGAUGACAUGGAAUCCAGUGAAGAGGAAGAAGAGGAAGAUGAGAAGUUGGAGAGAAUUCCAUCACCGGAUCAACAUCGGAGAAGCUACAGAGACUUAGACAAACCCCGUCGUUCCGCCACACUGUACUACAGGAGGAGCAGGAGCCGGUCUCCCAGAAGGCGGAGUGGGUCUCCCAAGAGGAGAAGCCCCUCUCCUCGCCGAGAAAGACAUAGGAGCAAGAGUCCAAGACAUCGUCGCAGUAGGUCCCGAGAUCGCAGACCCAGAUCUCGCUCCAAGUCCCCAGGUCAUUACCACAGUCACAGGCACAGGAGCCACUCAAAGUCCCCUGAAAGGUCUAAGAAAAGCCAGAGCCGGAGAGGGAAUGAGUAAUGGACACCUGUUUGAUUUUACUCCACAUGGCCUCUUUUGUAUAUGGCAGGAUCAGUCCAUGUAGGAUUAAGAUUUGUUUCCCAGGCACCUAUAAGAAUAUUUUAACAUUUUCUUACCAUGCUUU
Molecule: RNA transcript, 1061 nt
Organism: Elephantulus edwardii (Cape elephant shrew)
Lineage: Eukaryota; Metazoa; Chordata; Mammalia; Macroscelidea; Macroscelididae
Gene name: pre-mRNA processing factor 38A pseudogene
Exons: 1
Source: RefSeq, a predicted model, not a curated record